GUGAACUGUGGUCAGGUGGCAGGGGUAUUAGAGUGAGUGCGGGCGUUAAUCGGAUUUACUGUGCGUAAAGCUGGCUGAGGUGGCUAAUUAAGUCAAAGUGGAAAUCCCCGAGGUUAUCAGUGGAAUGUCAUUCGAUACUGGUUGGCGAGGGUAUGGGAGAGGAUGGUAGAAUUCCAGGUGUAGCGGUGAAAUGCGUAGAGAUCUGGAGGAAUACCGAUGGCUAAGGCAGCCAGCUGGCCUAAUACUGACACUGAGGUGCGAAAGCAUGGGGAGCAAACAGGAUUAGAUACCCCAGUAGUC
This 300-nucleotide ribosomal RNA is filed under the name uncultured Gluconacetobacter sp. RNAcentral describes it as "bacterial SSU rRNA". It matches the Rfam family "Bacterial small subunit ribosomal RNA", at positions 496 to 795 of the family's 1533-position model. The record is from RNAcentral. Lineage: Bacteria; Pseudomonadati; Pseudomonadota; Alphaproteobacteria; Acetobacterales; Acetobacteraceae.